CCUACGGGGGGCUGCAGUAGGGAAUAUUGCUCAAUGGGGGAAACCCUGAAGCAGCAACGCCGCGUGGAGGAUGAAGGUUUUAGGAUUGUAAACUUCUUUUGUCAGGGACGAAGAAAGUGACGGUACCUGACGAAUAAGCCACGGCUAACUACGUGCCAGCAGCCGCGGUAAUACGUAGGUGGCAAGCGUUAUCCGGAUUUACUGGGUGUAAAGGGCGUGUAGGCGGGACUGCAAGUCAGAUGUGAAAUUCCAGGGCUCAACCCUGGAACUGCAUUUGAAACUGUAGUUCUUGAGUGAUGGAGAGGCAGGCGGAAUUCCGUGUGUAGCGGUGAAAUGCGUAGAUAUACGGAGGAACACCAGUGGCGAAGGCGGCCUGCUGGACAUUAACUGACGCUGAGGCGCGAAAGCGUGGGGAGCAAACAGGAUUAGAUACCCCGGUAGUC
This 443-nucleotide ribosomal RNA is filed under the name uncultured bacterium. Its description in RNAcentral is "partial 16S ribosomal RNA". It matches the Rfam family "Bacterial small subunit ribosomal RNA", at positions 338 to 795 of the family's 1533-position model. The record is from RNAcentral.